GUUAGAGUGGUCGAUAUAGGCGUUAGAUUGUAAAUCUAAAUAUGGGGCAAUUUUUCCCCCUUUUAACA
This 68-nucleotide transfer RNA is filed under the name Psilodens balduri. RNAcentral describes it as "tRNA-Tyr". It matches the Rfam family "tRNA". From Rfam's summary of the family: Transfer RNA (tRNA) molecules are approximately 80 nucleotides in length. Their secondary structure includes four short double-helical elements and three loops (D, anti-codon, and T loops). Further hydrogen bonds mediate the characteristic L-shaped molecular structure. tRNAs have two regions of fundamental functional importance: the anti-codon, which is responsible for specific mRNA codon recognition, and the 3' end, to which the tRNAs corresponding amino acid is attached (by aminoacyl-tRNA synthetases). tRNAs cope with the degeneracy of the genetic code in two manners: having more than one tRNA (with a specific anti-codon) for a particular amino acid; and 'wobble' base-pairing, i.e. permitting non-standard base-pairing at the 3rd anti-codon position. The record is from RNAcentral. Lineage: Eukaryota; Metazoa; Mollusca; Caudofoveata; Limifossorida; Limifossoridae.